This 485-nucleotide ribosomal RNA is filed under the name uncultured bacterium. RNAcentral describes it as "partial 16S ribosomal RNA". It matches the Rfam family "Bacterial small subunit ribosomal RNA", at positions 355 to 830 of the family's 1533-position model. The record is from RNAcentral.
UGGGGAAUAUUGGACAAUGGGCGCAAGCCUGAUCCAGCAAUGCCGCGUGUGUGAAGAAGGCCUUCGGGUUGUAAAGCACUUUUAUCAGGAGCGAAACGCUGUCGGCUAAUACCCGGCGGAACUGACGGUACCUGAGGAAUAAGCACCGGCUAACUUCGUGCCAGCAGCCGCGGUAAUACGAAGGGUGCAAGCGUUAAUCGGAAUUACUGGGCGUAAAGCGUGCGUAGGCGGUCUCUUAAGUCUGCUGUGAAAUCCCCGGGCUCAACCUGGGAAUGGCAGUGGAUACUGGGAGGCUAGAGUGUGUCAGAGGGUGGUGGAAUUCCCGGUGUAGCGGUGAAAUGCGUAGAGAUCGGGAGGAACAUCAGUGGCGAAGGCGGCCACCUGGGACAACACUGACGCUGAGGCACGAAAAGCGUGGGGAGCAAACAGGAUUAGAUACCCUGGUAGUCCACGCCCUAAAACGAUGCGAACUGGAUGUUGGUCUC